GUAUGGCAAACCCUCCUAAGGAGGAAAUAUGCGGGUUCCAAGGCGGUAUCCCAAGUAUAUUGGAAGCAUGGGGAUUCCCACUUUUGGGCAGGUCUAAUGGCUACGAAGAAAUAUUUCUUCUGCUAUGGAUCCUUCUCGAUUAAGGACGGCUCGGAAAUUAGAUUCUGGGAGGACAAGUGGCUAGGAAAUGCCACACUCCGGGAACAAUAUCCGGCUCUAUACAACAUUGUGCGCUACAAAGGUGAUACUAUCACCACGGUAAUGGAAUCAUUUCCGCCAAAUGUGACGUUCAGAAGAGACUUAAUUGGACCCUGA
RNAcentral lists this ribosomal RNA (315 nucleotides) under Triticum aestivum (bread wheat). Its description in RNAcentral is "partial small subunit ribosomal RNA". Lineage: Eukaryota; Viridiplantae; Streptophyta; Magnoliopsida; Poales; Poaceae. The record is from RNAcentral.